UACAAUAUCAGCUAUAAAGCUGACGAGUUCAUACCUCGUAUAUGUAUAUUAUGCCUGAUUAAA
RNAcentral lists this transfer RNA (63 nucleotides) under Parachtes ignavus. RNAcentral describes it as "tRNA-Met". The record is from RNAcentral. Lineage: Eukaryota; Metazoa; Arthropoda; Arachnida; Araneae; Dysderidae.